UUAAGCGACUAAGCGUACACGGUGGAUGCCCUGGCAGUCAGAGGCGAUGAAGGACGUGCUAAUCUGCGAUAAGCGUCGGUAAGGUGAUAUGAACCGUUAUAACCGGCGAUUUCCGAAUGGGGAAACCCAGUGUGUUUCGACACACUAUCAUUAACUGAAUCCAUAGGUUAAUGAGGCGAACCGGGGGAACUGAAACAUCUAAGUACCCCGAGGAAAAGAAAUCAACCGAGAUUCCCCCAGUAGCGGCGAGCGAACGGGGAGGAGCCCAGAGCCUGAAUCAGUGUGUGUGUUAGUGGAAGCGUCUGGAAAGGCGCGCGAUACAGGGUGACAGCCCCGUACACAAAAAUGCACAUGCUGUGAGCUCGAUGAGUAGGGCGGGACACGUGGUAUCCUGUCUGAAUAUGGGGGGACCAUCCUCCAAGGCUAAAUACUCCUGACUGACCGAUAGUGAACCAGUACCGUGAGGGAAAGGCGAAAAGAACCCCGGCGAGGGGAGUGAAAAAGAACCUGAAACCGUGUACGUACAAGCAGUGGGAGCACAGAGCAAUCUGUGUGACUGCGUACCUUUUGUAUAAUGGGUCAGCGACUUAUAUUCUGUAGCAAGGUUAACCGAAUAGGGGAGCCGAAGGGAAACCGAGUCUUAACUGGGCGUUAAGUUGCAGGGUAUAGACCCGAAACCCGGUGAUCUAGCCAUGGGCAGGUUGAAGGUUGGGUAACACUAACUGGAGGACCGAACCGACUAAUGUUGAAAAAUUAGCGGAUGACUUGUGGCUGGGGGUGAAAGGCCAAUCAAACCGGGAGAUAGCUGGUUCUCCCCGAAAGCUAUUUAGGUAGCGCCUCGUGAAUUCAUCUCCGGGGGUAGAGCACUGUUUCGGCAAGGGGGUCAUCCCGACUUACCAACCCGAUGCAAACUGCGAAUACCGGAGAAUGUUAUCACGGGAGACACACGGCGGGUGCUAACGUCCGUCGUGAAGAGGGAAACAACCCAGACCGCCAGCUAAGGUCCCAAAGUCAUGGUUAAGUGGGAAACGAUGUGGGAAGGCCCAGACAGCCAGGAUGUUGGCUUAGAAGCAGCCAUCAUUUAAAGAAAGCGUAAUAGCUCACUGGUCGAGUCGGCCUGCGCGGAAGAUGUAACGGGGCUAAACCAUGCACCGAAGCUGCGGCAGCGACACUGUGUGUUGUUGGGUAGGGGAGCGUUCUGUAAGCCUGUGAAGGUGUGCUGUGAGGUAUGCUGGAGGUAUCAGAAGUGCGAAUGCUGACAUAAGUAACGAUAAAGCGGGUGAAAAGCCCGCUCGCCGGAAGACCAAGGGUUCCUGUCCAACGUUAAUCGGGGCAGGGUGAGUCGACCCCUAAGGCGAGGCCGAAAGGCGUAGUCGAUGGGAAACAGGUUAACAUUCCUGUACUUGGUGUUACUGCGAAGGGGGGACGGAGAAGGCUAUGUUGGCCGGGCGACGGUUGUCCCGGUUUAAGCGUGUAGGCUGGUUUUCCAGGCAAAUCCGGAAAAUCAAGGCUGAGGCGUGAUGACGAGGCACUACGGUGCUGAAGCAACAAAUGCCCUGCUUCCAGGAAAAGCCUCUAAGCAUCAGGUAACAUCAAAUCGUACCCCAAACCGACACAGGUGGUCAGGUAGAGAAUACCAAGGCGCUUGAGAGAACUCGGGUGAAGGAACUAGGCAAAAUGGUGCCGUAACUUCGGGAGAAGGCACGCUGAUAUGUAGGUGAAGUCCCUCGCGGAUGGAGCUGAAAUCAGUCGAAGAUACCAGCUGGCUGCAACUGUUUAUUAAAAACACAGCACUGUGCAAACACGAAAGUGGACGUAUACGGUGUGACGCCUGCCCGGUGCCGGAAGGUUAAUUGAUGGGGUUAGCGCAAGCGAAGCUCUUGAUCGAAGCCCCGGUAAACGGCGGCCGUAACUAUAACGGUCCUAAGGUAGCGAAAUUCCUUGUCGGGUAAGUUCCGACCUGCACGAAUGGCGUAAUGAUGGCCAGGCUGUCUCCACCCGAGACUCAGUGAAAUUGAACUCGCUGUGAAGAUGCAGUGUACCCGCGGCAAGACGGAAAGACCCCGUGAACCUUUACUAUAGCUUGACACUGAACAUUGAGCCUUGAUGUGUAGGAUAGGUGGGAGGCUUUGAAGUGUGGACGCCAGUCUGCAUGGAGCCGACCUUGAAAUACCACCCUUUAAUGUUUGAUGUUCUAACGUGGACCCGUGAUCCGGGUUGCGGACAGUGUCUGGUGGGUAGUUUGACUGGGGCGGUCUCCUCCUAAAGAGUAACGGAGGAGCACGAAGGUUGGCUAAUCCUGGUCGGACAUCAGGAGGUUAGUGCAAUGGCAUAAGCCAGCUUGACUGCGAGCGUGACGGCGCGAGCAGGUGCGAAAGCAGGUCAUAGUGAUCCGGUGGUUCUGAAUGGAAGGGCCAUCGCUCAACGGAUAAAAGGUACUCCGGGGAUAACAGGCUGAUACCGCCCAAGAGUUCAUAUCGACGGCGGUGUUUGGCACCUCGAUGUCGGCUCAUCACAUCCUGGGGCUGAAGUAGGUCCCAAGGGUAUGGCUGUUCGCCAUUUAAAGUGGUACGCGAGCUGGGUUUAGAACGUCGUGAGACAGUUCGGUCCCUAUCUGCCGUGGGCGCUGGAGAACUGAGGGGGGCUGCUCCUAGUACGAGAGGACCGGAGUGGACGCAUCACUGGUGUUCGGGUUGUCAUGCCAAUGGCACUGCCCGGUAGCUAAAUGCGGAAGAGAUAAGUGCUGAAAGCAUCUAAGCACGAAACUUGCCCCGAGAUGAGUUCUCCCUGACCCUUUAAGGGUCCUGAAGGAACGUUGAAGACGACGACGUUGAUAGGCCGGGUGUGUAAGCGCAGCGAUGCGUUGAGCUAACCGGUACUAAUGAACCGUGAGGCUUAACCUU
RNAcentral lists this ribosomal RNA (2903 nucleotides) under Escherichia coli DEC3F. Its description in RNAcentral is "bacterial LSU rRNA". It matches the Rfam family "Bacterial large subunit ribosomal RNA". Lineage: Bacteria; Pseudomonadati; Pseudomonadota; Gammaproteobacteria; Enterobacterales; Enterobacteriaceae. The record is from RNAcentral.